RNAcentral lists this ribosomal RNA (253 nucleotides) under uncultured bacterium. RNAcentral's name for it is "partial 16S ribosomal RNA". It matches the Rfam family "Bacterial small subunit ribosomal RNA", at positions 524 to 776 of the family's 1533-position model. The record is from RNAcentral.
UACGUAGGGUGCAAGCGUUGUCCGGAAUUAUUGGGCGUAAAGAGCUCGUAGGCGGUCUGUCGCGUCGGCUGUGAAAACCCGGGGCUCAACCCCGGGCCUGCAGUCGAUACGGGCAGACUAGAGUGCGGUAGGGGAGACUGGAAUUCCUGGUGUAGCGGUGAAAUGCGUAGAUAUCGGGAGGAACACCAGUGGCGAAGGCGAUCAUCUGGGGUUGUUCUGACGCUGAGGAGCGAAAGCUAGGGGAGCAAACGGG